RNAcentral lists this long non-coding RNA (1863 nucleotides) under Glycine max (soybean). Its description in RNAcentral is "long non-coding RNA (GMAX_LNC003164)". Lineage: Eukaryota; Viridiplantae; Streptophyta; Magnoliopsida; Fabales; Fabaceae. The record is from RNAcentral.
GCUUCCGAUAUCGACGUCAAUUUCGAGGUAAUUCGAACCUUUGUAGUAAGCGCAAUUCAACGCUUUCCCUAACAAGCACGCGCUGUGGCUCCCCACGGCCUUCUUCACGAUCCACGGCCCCUUCGCGAUCCGGUUCACCAGCUUGAACCGCUGGUUCCGAAACGCGUCGUCGCCGUGCACGAACCGGUUUAAGAGUGAACCGGUUCGGACCGGAUCCGGUUCCUCGGUCGCGAAGUAGAACACCGCGCUGUGGUGCUCCUUCGCGCCCGGGAUCUGGAGAUUCACCGCGAAGACGAAGCUCUUUAGGGAGCGACCUAGGGUUUGACAUCUUCGCAGCGCGUGCAUCACGCGGUUGUCCGCGCGUGAGAGCACGUGGUCGAGUUUCGCGGCGGAUUUGAGCCAGUCCAUGCCCGCCGGCGAGAGGAGGUAGUCGCCGGCGGGAGAUUUUUGGCGGUUCUGAAAGUAACUUUCGGAGCGGAGGGAGAACACGGAGCCUGGCGGCGACGCCCAGCCGUUGGUGCCGGAGUUGAGGUCGACGCGGCGGAGGGAGCCGCCGUUGAUUGAUUCGGAGAUCCAGUCUGGAAUGCUGUCGCCAGGGGAGUUACCGGAGCUCCGGUGAGGUUUCGGCGGCGGCAGCAGCAGCGACAUUGGUGGAGGCUUUGUUUGCAUAUACUGUAGAACCAGAAACUGAACUAACUCCAUUUAACGUGGAGAGAAGAAGGGUGUGUUAGCAAAAGGAUAAAUUGUAAGAGGGGCUGAAAAUAAAAGUAGAAUAAUUAGAAAAAGUAUCCCUAAUUUAUUGGAAAUUACGAUAGAGCCCCUUACUUUAUGUCGGCCAGCCUCGACGAUGCAUAAAUAAAACAGGAGAUUCUAUUUGAAAAUGAUUUUUCUUUUUGUUUCAAAGUUCAAUUAUUUAUGGCAUCAAGAAAAAGUUCAAGUUUUUGUUGGAAACUCGACAAUAAAACUUUGACACAAUGAUGAAAUUAUAUGCUUGACAACUAUAUUUUGUUAAUUAUUGAUUGAUUUUCAACAUUAUCAUAGUAAUUCGCGGAUGAGUUGGAAAAGGAUAGUGUAUAUUCUGCACAAUCAUCUCAAAUAACUGGGAGUUUUUUCUUGUGUGAUUAUCUUAUGUCUGAAAAUUAAAGACUAGAUGUAUGCACAUCAUUUUAAAGGGUUGAAUUAUCUUAAUAUAUAUAUAUAUAUAUAUAUAUAUAUAUAUAUAUAUAUAUAUAUAUAUAUAUAUAUAUAUAUAUAUUUAAAAAUCAAAUUUCUAACCAUAUAGUUAAGAGACACAAUUAUCUACUAGUUAAGCCCUAAAAAAUUACCUACUUAUUAUUUUAUAUAUUGAUGUGAUAUUAUUUUUCAUCAUUAAUUAGAAACUAUAGCAUAAGUUGUUGAAUCAAAGCUUAAUUACUUAUUUAUUGCCUCUUUCUUAUAUUAGUAUAUUACUAGGUACUAGUAUUAAGUUUUAGUUUUUUUUUUAAUUUACAAUUGUAUUAAGGGAAGUAUUAAUUAUUUUUUUAAAAAAAAAAAAGCUAGAUGGGGAUAAACAUUAUAGGGAAAACACAAAGCUGGGAGUGCGAGCAAAGCUAAAGCAUAGUCAUUGACAAAGCUGGAAGGGAAGUUUUCUCUCUUUCGUUUGUUUAGAUUGCUACGUAAAUUCAAUAACACUCAUUGAAGAAGUCAAGGGUGGGCGCAGUUUAAACUACUCUGGACACAUGGAUGGAAAUCUUUUGGAUGUUGAUGAUGAAGAUGGCGACACCUGUGAAUCAUAAAGUUGAAGCAUGCAUAGGAGAAUUUUGUUGAUAAAUAUUCGAUAUCAUAAAUGACAUCAUUUUUUCCAAUUAAAAUUAAAGAGCUGCC